This 253-nucleotide ribosomal RNA is filed under the name uncultured bacterium. RNAcentral describes it as "partial 16S ribosomal RNA". It matches the Rfam family "Bacterial small subunit ribosomal RNA", at positions 524 to 776 of the family's 1533-position model. The record is from RNAcentral.
UACGAGGGGUGCAAGCGUUGCUCGGAAUUAUUGGGCGUAAAGGGCAAGUAGGUGGUCUCAUUUGUCUGGGGUGAAAGCCUUGAGCUUAACUCAAGAAGUGCCCCGGAAACGGUGAGACUCGAGUAUUGGAGAGGGUCGUGGAAUUCCCGGUGUAGCGGUGAAAUGCGUAGAGAUCGGGAGGAACACCAGAGGCGAAGGCAGUGUCCUGGGGAGUACCUGACGCUCAGGUGCGAAAGCCAGGGGAGCGAACGGG